Molecule: ribosomal RNA, 149 nt
Filed under: uncultured bacterium
Lineage: Bacteria
Description: partial 16S ribosomal RNA
Rfam family: Bacterial small subunit ribosomal RNA
Source: RNAcentral
GCCCGUACCGGGCGCAGCCUGAUGCAGCACGCCGCGUGAGGGAUGACGGCCUUCGGGUUGUAAACCUCUUUCAGUAGGGAAGAAGCGGAAGUGACGGUACCUGCAGAAAAAGCACCGGUUAACUACGUGCCCCCCGCCGCUAUAAUAUG